This 468-nucleotide ribosomal RNA is filed under the name uncultured bacterium. RNAcentral's name for it is "partial 16S ribosomal RNA". It matches the Rfam family "Bacterial small subunit ribosomal RNA", at positions 28 to 507 of the family's 1533-position model. The record is from RNAcentral.
GACGAACGCUGGCGGCGUGCUUAACACAUGCAAGUCGAACGGAAAGGCCCUGCUUUUGUGGGGUGCUCGAGUGGCGAACGGGUGAGUAACACGUGAGUAACCUGCCCUUGACUUUGGGAUAACUUCAGGAAACUGGGGCUAAUACCGGAUAGGAGCUCCUGCUGCAUGGUGGGGGUUGGAAAGUUUCGGCGGUUGGGGAUGGACUCGCGGCUUAUCAGCUUGUUGGUGGGGUAGUGGCUUACCAAGGCUUUGACGGGUAGCCGGCCUGAGAGGGUGACCGGCCACAUUGGGACUAAGAGACGGCGCAGACUCCUACGGGAGGCAGCAGUGGGGAAUAUUGCACAGUGGGCGGAAGCCUGAUGCGGCAACGCCGGGUGCGGGAUGCCGGCCUUCGGGUUGUAAACCGCUUUCGCCUGUGCCGAAGCGUGAGUGACGGUAAUGGGUAAAGAAGCACCGGCUAACUACGUG